GAAGCCCAGUUAUCAAAGUGUUAGCCACCAGGAUAUGCUUAUAUCUUCAGCCAUGUCAUCUCACAAAGACUAUCUAUAAAGGCAUAAAGGGACUUUGAUCCGUGUUGGGAGAAGGAGCAUCCACAGUAGAUCCUUGGAUGACUGAAUCACUAGUGUUAUUUCUAAUAGAGGCAGCCUGAUAGGGGAGAAGGAACAUUGGACAGGAUGCAAAAAAAAACAGGGUUCAAAUCACAGUUCCACUACUUACUGUGAGCAAAUUCUGUCUCUGAGCCUUCAUCCCCUUAUCUCUGAAAUAGGGACACUAAUUAUCUACGCUGCUGGCCUGAGAGUCAACAUGUUGGCAUAAUAUAAUAUAGAGCUGACUUCAAAGCUGCAAAGUCCCAAAUUCAAGUCUUGCUUCUAACACAUACUGGUUGUAUAACCUGGGGCAACUCAUUUAACCUUUGUGUUCUAGGCAGUUCUCUAAGGCUGUGAGGUAUGGAGAAGAGAAUGAGCAGCAGUGGUAGGAGUCCUUUCACCUAGAAGUUCUACACUGGUGAAAUCUCAUAUCAACUCCCUGUCCCUAAUGCUUAUUAUCCCCACCUCACAGGGUCGGCGAAGAUAAAAUGUGUCUAACCUUACUGGUGUUUCCAUCCAUUUGCAGACUACAGACCUCUGUACCUUCUCAGCCUCAUUUGGCUCAACAGAACAAAAGGCAAUCUUAAAGCUCCCCAUGUCCAUGUGGAAAUCAUACAAGAUUCCUCGAGAGAUGAAACCACGGCGAUAACUUUGUUCAGCAAUCUUCUGCUCAUCAGCUUGAGGCGACACAUACAGCAAGGUGUAAAGCCUUAACGAAGACCUGGGGUAAUCAGUGACCACAUCUGUACAACAAGAACAAGCCUGUGAGACUUCCAGCUGCUUUCCAGGGUUAUGGCGACCAUUAACGAGAGAAAGCCAAACUCUCCAGGCUGAAGGCAAGGCCCGGCUCUGUACAAAGGAACGUGACUGACUGUUUGCCCAAAUGGGGCCUGUUAUGUCUCACAACCUCCCACAAUUAAUCUGUAGAAUUAAGCUGUAGACACGACGCCUCUCAUACCCUUUUGUAUUGAAAUUGAAUCCAAAGAAAUUUGUCUUUGAAUCCCAGCUCUGACACUUCGAGUACUGCUGUAGAAUCCUGAGAAGUUGCUGAAACCUCUUUAAAUUUUUUUUAAAAUUCAUUUUGAGUUCUGAGUUGUCUCCCUCUUUCCCUCCCAAUCCUACA
RNAcentral lists this long non-coding RNA (1240 nucleotides) under Monodelphis domestica (gray short-tailed opossum). RNAcentral describes it as "lncRNA (ENSMODG00000044636.1)". The record is from RNAcentral. Lineage: Eukaryota; Metazoa; Chordata; Mammalia; Didelphimorphia; Didelphidae.